RNAcentral lists this ribosomal RNA (839 nucleotides) under uncultured bacterium. RNAcentral describes it as "bacterial SSU rRNA". It matches the Rfam family "Bacterial small subunit ribosomal RNA", at positions 75 to 928 of the family's 1533-position model. The record is from RNAcentral.
CACCUUCGGGUGUGAAUUAGCGGCGAACGGGUGAGGAACACGUGAAGAAUCUGCCUUCAACUCUGGGAUAACUCCGGGAAACCGGGGCUAAUACCGGAUAUGAGCCUUGAUCGCAUGAUCGGGGCUGGAAAGUUUUUCGGUUGAAGAUGACUUCGCGGCCUAUCAGCUUGUUGGUGAGGUAAUGGCUCACCAAGGCGACGACGGGUAGCCGGCCUGAGAGGGCGACCGGCCACACUGGGACUGAGACACGGCCCAGACUCCUACGGGAGGCAGCAGUGGGGAAUAUUGGGCAAUGGAGGAAACUCUGACCCAGCGACGCCGCGUGAGGGAUGAAGGCCUUCGGGUUGUAAACCUCUUUCAGUAGGGAAGAAGCGAAAGUGACGGUACCUACAGAAGAAGCACCGGCUAACUAUGUGCCAGCAGCCGCGGUAAUACAUAGGGUGCAAGCGUUGUCCGGAAUUAUUGGGCGUAAAGAGCUCGUAGGUGGUUCGAUACGUCGGAUGUGAAAAUCAGGGGCUCAACCCCUGACCUGCAUCCGAUACGGUCGAGCUAGAGUUUGGUAGGGGAGACUGGAAUUCCUGGUGUAGCGGUGGAAUGCGCAGAUAUCAGGAGGAACACCGAUGGCGAAGGCAGGUCUCUGGGCCAAUACUGACACUGAGGAGCGAAAGCGUGGGGAGCGAACAGGANUAGAUACCCUGGUAGUCCACGCCGUAAACGGUGGGCGCUAGUUGUGCGAACCUUCCACGGUUUGUGCGACGCANCUAACGCAUUAAGCGCCCCGCCUGGGGAGUACGAUNCGCNAGAUUAAAACUCNNGGNANUUGACGGGGCCCCGCACNA